This 13244-nucleotide long non-coding RNA is filed under the name Citrus x clementina. RNAcentral's name for it is "Citrus clementina (C. clementina) long non-coding RNA (CCLE_LNC004784)". The record is from RNAcentral. Lineage: Eukaryota; Viridiplantae; Streptophyta; Magnoliopsida; Sapindales; Rutaceae.
UUGUUGUAGGACAAAUUGAGCUUCUCCAAGCUUUCCAUUCUGCAGAUUCGAGAUGAUAUCUUUUCUCCCAAAAAGUUAUGACUCAAAUCUAACUCUGAAAGGUGAAUCAAAUUAUCUAAUUCAAUUGGAAUUUGUUGACUCAAUUUAUUGUGGCUCAAAUUCAAAUAAUACAAUUUAACCAAGCUGCCAAGACUUUCUAGCACAAAGUUGCUCAGAUGAUUUGCAGACAAGUCAAGGUACUCGAGAUUAAUGAGUGACCCAAGCUCUCCAGGUAUACGUCCAGAGAGUUUAUUCCCACUCAAACUAAUCCUGUUGAGAUAAAUUAUAUUUCCAAGUUGUGUUGGAAUCUCACCAACAAUAUAAUUUGAAGAAAGAUCAAGAUAUUGUAACUGAGGUGAUUCUCCAAUCUCAAACGGUAUGUUUCCAGUAAUAUUAUUUAUUGAAACAUCUAAAAGACUUAAUUGUGGGCAUCUUCCCCAGUCUGAUAAGAUUUCACCAAAAAAAUUGUUAUUGCUGAGAUCAAUGAAAGUGAGGUUUGGAUAAGUAUCAAAAGUUUUGGUAUAUUUCCUGUUAAAUAGUUUUGGUUAAGACGUAGUUUGACUAGGUCGGUCAAAUUUCUGAAGCUUUUGAGAACUUGACCUCGAAAAUUGUUUUUAGUUAGCAGUAAAGAAUUUAACUUCUUGAGAUUUUCGAUUUCUUGAGGAAUGAUACCAGAAAGCUCAUUAUGAUAAAGGAAUAAGAAUCUCAAAUUGGUUAAAUUACCAAUUGAAAGAGGUAUAGCACCAUUAAGUUGAUUUAUGCACAACUUCAUAUCAAAAAGUGACUUUAAGUUUCCUAUUUGUUGAGGAAUGGAACCAGAAAAUGAAUUAUUAUAAAGAUAAAAAAAACGAAGUUGGUGAAAUUGCUAAGAGAACGAGGGAUUGGACCGCCCAAAAAAUUAGAAUCUAAAAUAAGGUGAUUAAGAAAAUUCAAUUGGCCUACCUCAUGUGGAAUUGAACCAUUCAAUUGAUUUCUAGAAAUGUGAAGGAUCGUCAGAUGAGUCAAAAGGCUAAUUUCUGAUGGUAUAUGACCAAACAACUUAUUAGUUGAAAAAUCAAGGUACUCUAGCUUGGAAAGGUUGCUGAUUUGAGGAGGGAUGAUAUCGAAGAGCUCGUUAUUAUAUAAAUCAAGAUACGCAAGAUGAGGAAAUGAUGAGAAUGAGAAUUCAAGAAGAGUACCAUUUAGACUUAUGCUUGUCAGAUUAAUUCCGAAGACUCUUCCGGCAUGGUUGCAAUGAAUUCCUGACCAAGUACACAAGCUUAUUUUGGUGGCAUUUACAAAAGAAAGAGACCAUGAAUGCAAGAGAGAACGACUAUGGACUUCAAGGCUGGCUUUCCAUUUCACAAGAGCAUGGGCUUCUUCUGUAGAAUUAGAAGAAACAGCAAGUGAAAAGUCUAAAACAAGAAACAAGAUGAGGGGAAAAACGAGUGAUAUAAUUACUCUAUUAUUUUUCAAGGCUGGUGAAUCCAUUGAUUAUGUUUUUGGGUAGCAAUAGAAAACAAAGAUGAAAAUAGAAGAUAAAUUACAGAAACCAAACGGUGAUGGAGAAAAGAAGCACGCUAAGAGCAAAUGUAUAGAAUACUAAGUCAAUUGACCUGUAAACUUGAGUUGCUUUCAAGGGAAAUAGUUUCUGGAGAUAUAAUAUAAGGGGGUAAAAACAAUCCUUGUACCACAUGCGACUAUCUUGUCUUUAGGACAAGUUAAUUUAUAUAUUAAAUUAAUAAAAUUUAUUAUAGUAUUAUAAUUUAGGAAAAUUCUAUAAUGCCGUAAUUAAAUUUACAACAUUGAUGCCGUAAUGGACGUGGACCGUUAGAUUAAAUCAACGAUUCACAAUAAUGAUAAAAUAAUAAAAACAUUUAAUUAAAUUAUGUUUAACCGGUUUAUAACCGGUUAAGUACUUUUUAAAAUAAAAUUCUACUGAUAAAUUUAAAGGAAAAAAGGAUUUACUUUAAAAAAAAAAAUACAAAGGGAAAACUUGAUCCCUAAUUAACGAAUUGCAAAAGAUAUAGUCACACCCACUGCCGCGUUAACUUCAGUUCAGGUGCACCGGCGAUACGUCUGCAGAUUGCGACCAUUCAUUGAGUUGAUUUUCUGUCUUGUUCGAAUUGCUGAGUCUCUGCCAUCGCUGCCUCUGUCUUGGUUUUGGCGGUCGUCACCUGUGCAAUGUACCUUUUUCCUCUUUCUCGUUCGAAUUGCUAAGCAAUUUUGUUUUCUUUGCAUGAAUUUGCUAAGUAAUUUAGUUUCAGAUUUCUCAUUCAAUUUUAUAUUAACUUAUAUAGUAUCAUCGUCAUAAUUUGUUCACGAAAUUCUUAGAUUCAAUUCCGCCAGAAUUAACAAGUCUCUGUACGCCGGAUUUGUUCACGGAAUUAAGAAGUUCAGUGUAAAGUGUUUGGGUUUGCUGGACCACAUAAACAUUGCCCCCUUGCCUGACAGUCUGUCACCAUGUCGGCUGGACCACACAGACAUCUUUCUCAAAGUCUUUGAGUGAAUUGUAAGUUCAUACUCUCCAUUUUCUAGUGUAUAUAUAUCUCAAUUGUGGGGAAGAAAUAUGUAAUAGUUCACUACUACUAAUAGAUCAUAAUUUAGUAUAAGUUCACGCUUAUGAUAAUUUGUAAUAAGAUGUUUGUUUUCCAGCAAUUGUUAAACUUGCAAUCCUUGAUCACACCGAGAGAGAGCAGAUCUGCAGAGAAAAUGACAGAGAGCUUGCUGUUGCGUGUAGAUCGACACAGAUAAGGAGAGAGAGAGAUUUGUUGUGAGCAAAUCAGGAAAAGAGGGAAAGAGAGUUCUGUGAGUCGCCUUCGUUUUGAGUAGAUUAGGAAACGAGGGAGAGAGUGCACUGUGAGCUGCCAUCAUCAUUGUCCAAAACUCCAAAAGCUUUUACUACCAUCACUGCCAAAAUUGAAAAACAAGAAGCAAGCAAUGAAUUCCUGACCAAGUACACAAGCUUGUCCAAACUUGCUGCGAUAGCAUGAUAAUAAUCUAAUUAUUUAGAAAAAUAAAAUUACAAGCAUAAUAGUAACCUAGCUAGAAAAAUAAGACCUAAUAUAAACAAGAUUUCAAACAUUAACCAAGUUAUUUUCAGAACAUUAUCUCAAAUCUAACUCCUACGCACAUGAACAUGACACAUUAUUUUGCAACAAAUAAUUUUCAGAACAUUAUAAGAGAAACUAGAGGCAAAACGGGAAAAAAAUUAUAAUUCUGAAAUUACAACUAUAGUAGUAAUCGAUUUAUUUAGGGACAUUGUUAAUAAUUUCACACUUACAAUAAUACUCAACAGGCAAAACAUAAUUAAGGCUGACUUUAUACUUCUGGGGCUGAAUGAGUAUUUUUAAAAUAAAUGGGUCAUUUGUAAUAUUUUGACUUAAUGGGGACUAGUUUGAAAUUAGCCAUAUUAAAACUUUUGCAACUUGUCCAGAAUACGUCUUUUCCUAAUUCAAUAGUUCCAUUCAAUCCUACAAUUUCCUUGCCCAGUGUUUUCUAACGACCACAUAGAACACAAUGAAUGAUGAUCAACAAGGUUAAUUCUUCAUUGUCUUUUAAUGAUUUGUUACUCUUGCUAUUAUUUUUUAUGUUAUUUUCUCUCUUUCUAAAAAGAGUAGUGUUGUUUAACCUUUUAAAAUUAAUAUUAAUUGUGUCUAUUAGAAUUUACAGGCUAUUGUCUAGAAGUGCCAUUUCACUUAUUGUAAUAUUUUCUUAUUGUAUAAUGACAGGCAUUAACAAAAAUUACAAAGUGCCAGAGCUUGAUGUUCUAUCAUCAUAUGAUAUUCCUUCAACAACUCAAGCAGAAAUACAAUCAAGUUUUUUAGUUGUUCAUAACAAAACAAUUGAACCAAAUUAUUUUUGUAAUAUUUUGAAAAUCAAAUAACAGUAUCAGUUUAUUUUAGUUGGUGGUAAUAAAAUAAUAGAAUUAGACUAUUUUAUCUGUCAAUAAUAAAACAAUAGUAUCAAUUGAAGUUAGCUAUUCAUGAUAAAAAAAAAUUAUUCAUACUCUAUUAUGACAGGGAGGGAUGGUUCAAACUCUAUUUAUUGGAAUGAUAAAAGCAUGUAUGAACUCACUGCUGAAGACGUUAUUGGAAAGCGAUUUGCAUCACUUGAAGAAGCUACAAAUUUUUAUCAAAAACACUAAAAAAUAAUGUGUUUUAGUGUUCGCAUUUAUGAUGGGAGACGUGAUACAAAUGUUGCACCCAUAAUGAAACAUUGGGUUUGCAGUAGAGAAGGUGAAAGGGAUAAAAAGUACAUUGAGCAUACAAACAGAAUCCGUGAACCUAGAGCUAUUACAAGAGUCAACUGUCGAGCAGCAUUCAGGGUAAAUUUAGAUAAGGAGUCCAAAAUUUGGGUUGCUAGAAGCUUUGUUCCGAAACACUCUCAUGAGUUGGCAGCAGGUUUUGCGACUGAAUUUCUUCGAUCUUAUCGAAUAGUUAAAGAUUCUGACAACGUUCUAGCUAAUUCAAUGAAAACAGUUGGUAUAAAGACAAGUCAGAUUAUGGACUUCUUUGUCAACCAGGCUGGAGAUUAUGACAAAUUGGGCUUUGGAUUAAAGGAUUUAUAUAACAAUUUAGAUAAUGAAAGUCGAUCCAUGAUACUUGAAACAGACUCAAAAGUUGCACUUGCAUACUUAAAUGCAAAAGCCGACAUAGAUCCAGAUUUCUUUUGUAAGUACUCUGUAGAUGAGGAGAAUAGACUUGCAAACUUAUUCUGGGUAGAUUCUAUUGCUCGAUUGGAUUAUAGUUACUUCGGCAAUGUUUUGGCUUUCGAUAGUACUUACAAGACAAAUGAGUAUGGGAAGCCUUUAGUUAUUCUAUUGGAUGUUAAUAAUCAUUAUGCAACAAGUUUUUUUUUGUUGUGCAAUUCUCACGGAUGAGACGGUUGAGACCUACACAUGGGUGCUUAAAACAUUUUUAAGUGCUAUGAAUAAUAGAAAGCCUAUAUCUAUUGUGAUUGAUGGAGAUAGAGCGAUGCGCAAAGCAAUUAAAAAGGUAGUUCCUGAAGCUCAGCAUCGACUGUGUAUUUGGCAUCUACAAAGAAAUGCACAAUCUAAUGUACAUAAAACGCUUGAAUUUGUUAGAAGGUUUAAGGAUUUUCUGUUGGGAAAUUACAGACCCGAAGAAUUUGAGCAAUUAUGGCAGAACAUGGUGAAAGAGCUUGGUCUUCAAAAUAAUGAUUGGGUUAAGAAGAUGUACUCAAAACGAGAGAGANNNNNNNNNNNNNNNNNNNNNNNNNNNNNNNNNNNNNNNNNNNNNNNNNNNNNNNNNNNNNNNNNNNNNNNNNNNNNNNNNNNNNNNNNNNNNNNNNNNNGAGUAAAUUAAUGUUAGAGUUGUAAUUGUACGAAGAACCUUAUAAACAAAACCAAAAACUUAGAAAAAUGACAUAUAACUAGUAAAUUGACAUUAAUUGUGAAAUGAAACAAAAAAAUGUAUUAAGCAUACAUAAAACUAGUAAAUUGAUAGAAAAAUGAGUAAAUUAAUGUUGAAGUUAUAAAUUGCAAGAAGAACUUGUAAACAAAAUAAAAACUUAGAAAAAUGACAUAAAACUUGUAAAUUGACAUUAAGUAUGAAAUGAAACAAAAAAUUUGUAAACCACACAUAAAACUAGUAAAUUAAUGGAAAAAAUGGUAAAUUAAUGUUGGAGUUGUAAUUGGCAAGAAGAACUUGUAAACAAAACAAAAACUUAGAAAAAUGACAUAGAACUUGUAAAUUGACAUUAAGUGUGAAAUAAAACAAAAAAUAUAUAAAUCACACAUAAAACUAGUAAAUUAAUGUUCGAGUUGUAAAUUGUAAAAAGAACUUGUAAAUUAACAUUAAGUGUGAAAUGAAACAAUAAAUUUGUAAACCACACAUAAAAAUAAUAAAUUAAUGUUGGAGUUGUAAAUUAAUGAAAAAAAUUGGUAAAUUAAUGUCAGAGUUGUAAAUUGUAAGAAGAACUUGUAAACAAAACAAAAACUUAGAAAAAUGACAUAGAACUUGUAAAUUAACAUUAAGUGUGAAAUGAAACAAUAAAUUUGUAAACCACACAUAAAAAUAAUAAAUUAAUGGAAAAAAUAGUAAAUAAAUGUUGGAGUUGUAAAUUGUAAGAAAAACUUGUAAACAAAACAAAAAUUUAGAAAAAUGAUAUAGACCUUGUAAAUUGAUAUUAAGUGUGAAAUGAAACAAUAAAUUUGUAAACCACACAUAAAACUAAUAAAUUAAUGAAAAAAUUGGUAAAUUAAUGUUGGAGUUGUAAAUUACAAGAAGAAAUUGUAAACAAAACAAAAACUUAGAAAAAUGACAUAGAACUUGUAAAUUGACAUUAUGUGUGAAAUGAAACAAUAAAUUUGUAAACCACACAUAAAAUUAAUAAAUUAAUGUUGGAGUUAUAAUUUGCACGACGAAGUUGUAAACAAAACAAAAACUUAGAAAAAUGACAUACAACUAGUAAAUUGACAUUAAUUUUGAAAUGAAACAAAAAAUGUGUAAAUCACACAUAAUACUAGUAAAUUGAUGGAAAAAUGGGUAAAUUAAUGAUGGAGUUGUAAUUGGCCAGAAGAACUUGUAAACAAAAUAAAAAUUUAGAAAAAUGAUAUAGAACUUUUAAAUUGACAUUAAGUGUGAAAUGAAAUAAAAAAUGUGUAAAUCACACAUAAAACUAGUAAAUUGAUGGAAAAAUGAGUAAAUUAAUGUUGGAAUUGUAAAUUAUAAGAAGAACUUGUAAACAAAACAAAAAUUUAGAAAAAUGACAUAGAACUUGUAAAUUGACAUUAAGUGUGAAAUAAAAUAAAAAAUUUGUAAACCACACAUAAAACUAAUAAAUUAAUGAAAAAAUAGAUAAAUUAAUGUUAGAGUUGUAAAUUAUAAGAAGAACUUGUAAAUAAAACAAAAACUUGUAAAUGUUGCAUAAAACUUGUUAAUCAACAUUAACUUGUAAAAGUUUCAUAAAACUUGUAAAUCACACAUAAAAUUGGUAAAUGUAACAUGGAAUUUGAACAAAAAAGAGUAAUUAUCUCCUACUUAGGUAACAUGUUACCUAUUUAUUUAGAAUUAAUGAUAGUGAUUUUUUAUUCAAAUCUAACGGUCCACGUCCAUUACGACAUCAAUGUUGUAAAUUUAAUUACGGCAUUAUAGAAUGAUCCUAUAAUUUUAAAAUAUGGAAAUUAUAAUUUAAGACAAAGACACAUGCAUUGCAAUAGUAAUCACUUGUUUGUCGCGGCACGAGGAUGACUUCCCGUCAUCUUUGCAACCAAAAGUCAUAUAAAAAAAUAAUAAAUAUGAUUGUCCAUUCUCUUGUAUAAACAAAUAACAAUGCUGAUAUUUAAUUUGAAUUUUAUUCACCGAAAUAAAUAAAUUUAAUAUUUUUUAAUUAAAAUCAGACGAAAAUUGGGAGAUGGCUCGUCGCCUGGUAAACAUCUUUGGGAGAUGGGCCUCCACCCAUCAACUAUCCAUACAAAUAAUAAAUUUCGGGCUACAUAUCAUUUUUUAAUGAGUCAAACUAUUGACACUCUUCCAAAAUCUUCAUAAAAUUUCUUUUUUUAAAAAAAAUUAUAUUCUAUUUAAUAUUAAAGGUAUUUUUUUCUGACAUAUUAUUUUAGCACCUAAAUUUUUUGAUAAUUAUUAUUUUUUUAUAUAUUUUUACAAUUUACCAUCAAACUAUUAAAGCGUAAACUAUGUAAGUAUAAUUUAACCUUCUAAAUUAAAGAAAUACAAAAUUAAUUAUAUACCAAAAAAAUAAUAGUGUUAUCAAUUAUUAAGUAGGAAAAAGUAAUUAUCCAAAAAUUUUGAUAGUAAAGUGAUAUGCCAAAAAAUAUUAGGUAGCAAAGUGAUAAAAUCUAUAUAUUUUUUAAAAAAUCAAUCAUCACAAUUCAUAGUUAGCGAUAAUAUCCGUUUAUUAAAAAAAAAAUCAACGGCUUUGUUUAACAUUUACUUUAAAAAUGAAUGAUGACAAUUCUUCGCUAGUGACAACUAACAUAAGCAUUGCAUGGUCCCGUUAAGAGAAAAAAAAAGGGGGGCUGCAUAGACAAAUAGAAAGAAUGAAGCUUUUCACACACGCCUACUAAAUAUUGAAAUUAAAAUGUAAAACGAAGACAUAUUUGCCACGAUAAUAAUCACUUACUUGUCGCUACAUAAGGAUGACUUCCAGUCUUCUUUGGAGUCAAAGACGUGCUUGCAGCAACAGUCAUCGCCUAGUUGUCGCUGUACAAGGAUGACUUCCAGUCUUCUUUGGAAUCCAAGUCAUAUAAAGAAAAAAAAUACAAUAGAUACAAAUUUUCAUCCUUUCGAGUGAACAAAUAGCAAUACCGAUAUUGAAUCUGAAAUUUUAUCUAUCGAAAUAAAUAAAAUUAUUUACAGUUGGAUAAAAUUUUAUUUAAUUUAUUUUCUGUUUGUGUUGUGUCUUAAUUUAAUUCUUAUGUUUGUUACAAUAAUUUUGUUUUUAUUAAAGAAUUACUUCUUAAAUUCAGAUUGUUUGAAUGAUAUAAAAAAAAUAUUAUACAAGUAAAAUACACUAAAGAGAGAAAAAUUAUAAAUAGAAUUAAUUCUAUUUGUAUUUGUCCUUAAAUAUAAUUAUAAUCUAAUAUAAAUUUCAUAAAAUUAAAAAAUUCAACUUGGUUUCAUUGAACAAAGAAAAUUCUUAGCUAGUGCAAGAGGCAUCAGAGGGCCCCGCAAAAAAAUAUGAAUGGGCUACACCGACCGCCCGAAUUCUAUGAAUAUUAAUAAUAGAUGCAAAAGAAUACAAAUUUAUCAUUUUUUCCUUCUUCAAUGAAUAUCAAUUUCCUUUUUUUUUGGGAGAAAUAAAUUAACUUAUUAUCCAAGGAAGAGAGCUGGUUGUAUUAGAUUUAAUAUGAUAGAAUAACUAGCAGAGAGUUUACUGCAAAAAAUAAAGAAAAUAUGGAGAGACAUAUUUUCAAGGCAGUUGUAGAAUAAUUAAUAAAAGAGAGAUUGUCAUAUUCUCCCUACUGAAAUCAAUAUAGAUCACUUACUUUUUGCUAUUUUCAUAAUAGUCAAUAAUUCCCUUGGCAACAUAAUUUAAUAGUAUUACUGGGGUUGCUUUAUUCACAUUUAUUAUAAAUUGAAUAAAUCAUAUGAAUGUAAAUUAAAAUAAAUCAUAUAAAUGAAAAUUAAAAUAAAAAAAUUGCAGCACUAAAAUAAAAAAUAUAUAUUUUGGCGUGAAUAAAAAAUUAAUAAUAAGAUAUUUUUUCUUUUAUUUUUUAUUUUUAAAUAUUUUCUUAUAGGAAAUAUAUAUAUUUUAUAUUCCGAUGAUAAGGUAUUACAUGAAGAGUAAUGAUAUAGCCACAGACUCUUGUAUAAAUUUAUUUUAUACAAAUUGAUGCUGCAUUAAUUUAUUAGUUGAAUUAAAUAUCUCUUGGCCUACAUGAUUUAUUUAUAUUAUUUUAUAUUUUCAUUCAACCAAUAAAUUAAUACCACAUCAGUUUGUAUAAAAUUAGUUUAUACAAGAGUUUGUGGCUAUAUCAUCACUCUUAUAUGAAUAACCCAUUUACCUUUAUUUUUCUUUAAAUAUUUUUAUGCUCACUGAGUUUUUUUAUAUUAUGACAAAAAAUAAGGAGAGAAGUGUUAAAUAUUAAUUUUAAUAAAAGAGAAAUUAUUUGCAGAGCAAUGAAGGACCCCGCAAAGAAAUAAAAAUGUGCUUGCUGCUUGUAGAAAAUUCUUAGUCUCAGACGAGCAUUAACGUCUCAGUGCCUUCCUCGGACCGUUGGCUCCCCAAUCCCAACUACUAUAAAUAAUAUACAUUCAAGAGAACACUAAUUUAUCAUCCAUUCAUCCUUUCCAUCUUCAAUUAAUACUCGUUUGUUGAUAUUAAUUUCCUCUUACUUCCUUUAUUUUUGGCAUAACGAAAAUGGGAUUGGGCUCUAAGAUUUUCCUUCUUUUAGGUCUUGUAAUGACUAUUGUUGUUCUUCUUACUUCUACGAAGGUGGCAGCUGCUAGAAACAUGGCUGAGGCUUCCACUGCAACACGAAAAGGUGAGCGUCUUGGUUUAUGCAUUAAUUUGGGUCAUCUUAUAUAUAACAUAACAAUCAGAUUAAUUUCUUCUAGCAAAGCCAAUUUAUAAGCUGUGUUGGUCGUUAUAUGGUGGUGACCGAUGGCUUACAAAAAUGUCGUACUACGUAAUAUUUAUCGUGAAUAAUAUUGAAGAAGUGAAUUAAUUUAAAAAAAAUUUAAAAAAUAAUGAAAAUUUUUGGGUAGUAUAUUUAUUUUUUUAAUCUUUUAGCUCAUUAAUUAUUAUUCAAUAUAAUAUAUUUUAUCUUGUAGUACAAUAAUUUUUUUAUUUUACCUGUUAAAUUAUUAAAGUAAGAGAUUCAUUUAUUGUAAAAUUAUAUGCCACUUGACAUCAUUAUUCAUCAUAAUGUCAACAAUAUCGCCUAUUAUAUAUAUAUAUAUCAUUGUAUGGUAAUUAUAGGAAAACUUAUUACCCUAGAAAUUAAAGUCGGAAGAAGACAAGAGUAUACAUGAACAUAAAGUUCUCGAACUAAUAUGAUUGUUUUUUUUAUUUUUUUCCCCUAAACUAGGGAUAUAUAUAUAUAUAUAUCAUUACCCAUAGCAUCUUAUGUUUUAUUUUUUCCUUUAGUAGAAUUUUCUCAUUGCAUUGAGGUUGAUUUUUUUUUUCCAUUUCGGCCAAGACACAAUCACCGCCUCAAAGACCAAGACCCUAUAAAAAAAUUAAGUAAAAGAGAAAAGGAAUAAUAAAAAAAAAGUCUCAAUAGAAUUAAAUUCAACAAUUAAAAACAUGAUUCACCAUGACAGGCUACUGAGGGAUUUUCUCGUAUCAUUAAUUACCUCAAGUCCUUAAACUAAAAUAAUGAGUGGCGGAAAUUAAUUAAGAAAAUCAAAAACAAGAAAAUAAACAAACCUUUAAAGCUUUAAAGCUCAAGUCUGCAAAACCAAAAAAGAGAUUGCGUCUUCAAUUGGUAAUUCAGAAAAUGUUAAAAUGAUUGGAUUUUUCAGAUGAACAAUUAAGUGAUUGUCCAAAGUUUUUCCACAAAGAUUCUUCUCUCUCUUUAUAUUUUUCAAAAGAGCUUAAUUAGUUUCGCGACCAAUAUUAAUGGGCAAAUUGACCUCUGCAUUUUGCUAUCAAGUAAAAGUAGGGCUUCACCAGUAGGGGCCAAAAACAAAGUUAAUUAAAAUUCGUAAGCUGAAGUUAAAAUUUUGAACCAACAAGAUAGGGACAAGAUAGAGAUUUCGCCUCUACAAUUUUGACAGUUUUUACUUUGGCUUCGAAAUUUUACUCCUAUGAGUUUUGUGGCCUUCGCAGAAUUAUAGUUUUGUGUCUAUCCCUGGUUUCAAUUAGGGUAAAUGGGAAUGUAAUUCCUGUUAAAAAAUUGAUUAUUUUAUGAUUCAACCAUUAACCCACGUUGUGAUCAGAGUUAUAGUGAAACUAAUUAGAUUGAACUUCACACUACAAUGGUAUUAAAAACACGAAGGCCCUUGCUACAAAGAGUCGCAACGUGAAUAAUUUAUCAGAAAAGUACAGACAAGAUUAUAAAAGACCGUUAAUGGACUAGACUUCGAAAAUUUUUUCACAUAAUAAUUGGCUAACUCUCUUCAUCGUUGGUCUAGACUCUGGAUUCUGAUCUAAGCAUGAAAAGGCAACCUGCAUGAUUGACAUCAAUUUUUUCUGGACAUGGAGUGAUGGAUAUGGAAGCCGAGAGUCCAACAUUUCUAUGUUCAUAUUGGAAGAUGAAGAUGACAUUUCAAAAAGGAAAUCCCUUGGAUGCUUCCCUUUGAUAACUUCUAAUGCUAACACUCCAAAACUGUACACAUCGCAUUUUUCAGUAACCUUCAAUGUGUAGGCUAGCUCUGUUGAAAGAUGAAAUUAGAUCAUCUAUGUCACACCAAUUUUUUUGCUCAGUGUAACAUAAGAAAAAAUAAAUAAAUAAAGAUCGUGAUGAUGUGAAGAUAUAAGAGUUAGUAGAGAAUUAUUAAUUCAAAGUUGUGAUACCUGGUGCAACAUAUCCGUGUGUACCGGCAAGUUCAGACCAGUUAGAGGAGUCCGGAUUGAGAAACUUGGCAAUUCCAAAAUCCGAAACAUGGGCUUCAUACCCCAAAUCCAACAGCACGUUCUUGCUCGAUAUGUCUCGAUGAACAAUUGGCGGGAAGCAAUUAUUGUGCAAGUAAAAUAAUGCAUCAGCUACACCUUUUAUCACAUUCAAUCUCUGAGUCCAACCCAAUUCUUUUGCCGAUGCAUCAUUGCAGAGGAUCUUGUCCAAGCUACCGCUUUCCAGAUACUCAUAAAUUAUAAAUGAGUGUUUGGGAUGUGAACAGAAGCCAUAAAAUUUCACAAUAUUUCGAUGUCGUAUCUCUGUCAAUGCUUGAAUUUCAUUAAGGAAUUCUUCUUGCUGAAAUGACAUCUCACCUGGAAGUGGGGAAUGAAAUUUCUUAACUGCAAAGAUUUCUCCAGAUGGCACCUUAGCUCUGUAAACACUUCCAUGUCCACCUUUUCCAAUGCAAUGCUCAGCAUUAAAAUCAUUUGUCGCACUGAUGAUUUCUUCGUAAACGAUUUUCCCUUCAAAGGUUAACACUGAACGCAACCCUGGAGUAUUUCCAAAGCUACUCUGUUGUGUUUGUGAAUCAUUUUUCCUUUGAUGGAAAAUGAAGAAAAAUCCGGUCAAAGCAAUAAAAAGGGCAACCAUACCUAAAAGAGGGAACACAAUAACAAUCCAAAUCUUCCGGGAAGCUUUUUUGUAUGACAUGCAUGAUGGAAAUCCUCUGAUAUCUCCGCACAAUCCUUUGUUUCCUUGUAAUGCCUCCAACGGAGCAUCUCUGAAUGUUGUGCUAUUAGGAAUCUGUCCCUCUAACUUGUUAUAGGAUAUGUCAAUGUGUAAUAGGCCAUGCAUCUCCUCGAAGCAUCUUGGAAUGAGACCUGAUAGGUUGUUGUAGGACAGAUUGAGCUUCUCCAAGCUUUCCAUUCUGCAGAUUCGAGAUGAUAUCUUUUCUCCCAAAAAGUUAUGACUCAAAUCUAACUCUGAAAGGUGAAUCAAAUUAUCUAAUUCAAUUGGAAUUUGUUGACUCAAUUUAUUGUGGCUCAAAUUCAAAUAAUACAAUUUAACCAAGCUGCCAAGACUUUCUGGCACAAAGUUGCUUAGAUUAUUUGCAGACAAGUCAAGGUACUCGAGAUUAAUGAGUGACCCAAGCUCUCUAGGUAUACAUCCAGAGAGUUUAUUCCCACUCAAACUAAGCCUAUUGAGAUAAAUUAUAUUUCCAAGUUGUGUUGGAAUCUCACCA